GUCCCUGUAGCGUAAUAGAUACCGCGUUGGACUUCUAAUCCAAAGGUCGUGGGUUCGAAUCCUACCUGGGAUG
RNAcentral lists this transfer RNA (73 nucleotides) under Trichonephila clavata. It matches the Rfam family "tRNA". From Rfam's summary of the family: Transfer RNA (tRNA) molecules are approximately 80 nucleotides in length. Their secondary structure includes four short double-helical elements and three loops (D, anti-codon, and T loops). Further hydrogen bonds mediate the characteristic L-shaped molecular structure. tRNAs have two regions of fundamental functional importance: the anti-codon, which is responsible for specific mRNA codon recognition, and the 3' end, to which the tRNAs corresponding amino acid is attached (by aminoacyl-tRNA synthetases). tRNAs cope with the degeneracy of the genetic code in two manners: having more than one tRNA (with a specific anti-codon) for a particular amino acid; and 'wobble' base-pairing, i.e. permitting non-standard base-pairing at the 3rd anti-codon position. The record is from Rfam by way of RNAcentral. Lineage: Eukaryota; Metazoa; Arthropoda; Arachnida; Araneae; Nephilidae.